RNAcentral lists this ribosomal RNA (509 nucleotides) under uncultured bacterium. RNAcentral's name for it is "bacterial SSU rRNA". It matches the Rfam family "Bacterial small subunit ribosomal RNA", at positions 899 to 1397 of the family's 1533-position model. The record is from RNAcentral.
ACUCAAAUGAAUUGACGGGGGCCCGCACAAGCGGUGGAGCAUGUGGCUUAAUUCGAUGCAACGCGAAGAACCUUACCUGGACUUGACAUGCUGGUAGUAGAAGCCUGAAAGGGUGACGAUUCCGCAAGGAAAGCCAGCACAGGUGCUGCAUGGCUGUCGUCAGCUCGUGCCGUGAGGUGUUAGGUUAAGUCCUGCAACGAGCGCAACCCCUGUGGUUAGUUGCUAAGUGUCGUGAUGAACGAUGCAGCACUCUAAUCAGACUGCCUGUGAUAAGCAGGAGGAAGGUGGGGAUGACGUCAAGUCAGUAUGGUCCUUAUGUCCAGGGCUGCACACGUGCUACAAUGAACGGUACAGAAGGAUGCAAGACCGCGAGGUGGAGCAAAUCCCCAAACCCGUUCACAGUUCAGAUUGAAGUCUGCAACUCGACUUCAUGAAGCUGGAAUCGCUAGUAAUGGCGCAUCAGCUACGGCGCCGUGAAUACGUUCCCGGGCCUUGCACACACCGCCCGU